This 967-nucleotide long non-coding RNA is filed under the name Nicotiana tabacum (common tobacco). RNAcentral describes it as "long non-coding RNA (NTAB_LNC008297)". The record is from RNAcentral. Lineage: Eukaryota; Viridiplantae; Streptophyta; Magnoliopsida; Solanales; Solanaceae.
UAAUUACUCUUAUCAACCUCUGAAGUCUACUCAACUAGGAGUAUUAACAUGGCUGGAAAAGUUGCUAUCCUUCUCACCACUCUCCUUGUGCUUAUUGCUGGUAACUUAUUUUAGCCUCCUACAUUGUUAAAAUAUAGAUGCAUAUUGUUUGACAUGUAUGUUUUUUCAUUGGCUUUGUAUUUUAACGGUAUCUUUGCACAAAUAGCCGGACGAAUUUACUGUUUACUUUUUUUAGCCAGUAUACAUAUAUAGAUCUAUACACUGAUUAUACACGAUAAUUCACAUAUUACACAUGAAUUAUAUAUGUCUUAUAUAUUUGCUGGCUAUUUUUAGUUUAACGGCCGGGUGGAAGGCUAUUUAAGUUAAUUAUUUUUUUUAUUUUUUUGGGUACUAAAUUCAAUUUUGGAUUUAAAUAUGAUUUGCAGCCCAUUCAUUUUGGUCUACGAAAAUUCAUGUGAUGGCCCUACGAGAUCUACAACCAUUUGCAGCGAAACUAUCUCAAUUACCUCCAAAUUUUGGGCACCUUGUCAAAGAAACUAUGAUUGCACAAGUUUGACUUGUCCCGUUUGUGAUUGGCAUGAUACAUAUGGGAGGAUCUGUAUGAUAAGGCCUCGUCUCCAAGCUAAGGAAUAAAAUAGGAGACGUCAUAUGUGUUCUUCAAUUAAAUAAAAGAAUAUCGCUCAAUAUAUAUGUGUGCGCGCAAUAUAUAUUUCCUUCGAUUUUAUUUCCCAUACAUUUUAUAUGUCAGCUCCAAAUCUCGUACUAUGUGUUCUUCAAUUAAAUAAAAGAAUAUCGCGCAAUAUACAUGUGUGCACACGCGAUAUAUGUUUCCUUUGAUUUUAAUUUCCGAACCAUUUUACGUGUCACUUCCAAAUCUUCAGUUCCUGUUUAUGCACUUUUCUCUAAGAUAAGAAAAUUGUUACUCAUAAAAUCUUAAUUUGUCUCCUAUUUUCUCCUAAUUAGGCAG